This 2120-nucleotide long non-coding RNA is filed under the name Nicotiana benthamiana. RNAcentral's name for it is "long non-coding RNA (NBEN_LNC008120)". Lineage: Eukaryota; Viridiplantae; Streptophyta; Magnoliopsida; Solanales; Solanaceae. The record is from RNAcentral.
CUCUCCUUCAUCUCUCACCUCUUCAGAGACCAACCUUCUCCACCACCUCACACCACCAUGCUCCGCCCACCGAAAAUCGCCUCAUGGCGAUUCCAGUGCUCCAAUCUCUUCCAGACUUACACCCCUGACUCCUAUCCACCUCCUUAUUCCAAACCUCCAUACCAUUUUCUUCGAAUCUUAGCCGAAUCCUUCGAAUUUCAAAUCGAAAUCGGACCCCAAACCCUAGUUUACCCAACAUACCCCAAAUUAACACCUUAGGACCCUCUCUUUUUCCUCUUCGAAUCUGGAUUUAAAGAAACGAACCCUAAAAUCCCAAACUCCAAAACGUUAGGUGUAUGAAGGUUUGAGGUCAAAAUCGACCUUAGUUGUGUGUUCUCAGUCGAGAACACUCGAUUAAGAUCUAUUCCGGCCACAAAUUCGAAAAAAAAUUAAAGGUCUUAUUCGAGACAUGGUUCAAUCAUUUGGAGGUAGGUCUCCAAAUAUUACUUUUUUUUUCUAAUUCCUUUUAUUAUUAUCUUCCUGUACUCCUUUAUUUUUAUUUUAGAAUGAUUAUUUGGUCGGAUUUGAUUUGUGAUGGAUUUUUUAUAGUUUCUGUUUCGAACUAAAAGAUUGUUCGUUGAUUUGGUUUGGUUUAUUCAUGAGCUUCUUUAGCUAUUAUUCAUGUCAUCUGAAUUCUUGAUUUCGUCUGUUAAUUAUGGUAAUAUCUGAGUCCUUCAUAUUCUAGGCUUAAUUAGUUUAAUUAGGAUUAUUCUAAUAGUUUGGAUAAUUUCUCGUUUAAUUGUGUAUAAUAAUCGAUUGAUUAGUAUAAGUUUAAUUCAAGUGGUCACCUAAUUGAGAAGCUUCUGUAAUGGUAGGGUUAGAGUUACAUUAACUAGGUUAAGUGGACAACUAAGAAAUGAAAAGAUGAAUAGGUAAUGGAGAAGACACUAAGUUGAAUUCCUAUUUAAAGGGGCUGAAAAUUAGAAGAUAGGACAGAGAUACAUAUAAGAAGAUUCUGAAAAAUAUUGGCAAAAAGAAUACUGAAGAGAUUUUGAGAGAGUUAAAAAAUUCCAAGAAAAUACAAUGGUAGAAUACAUAGACAGAAACUUAAACUAUCAAUGAAAGUUCAUUUGAAUACCUCAACUAAGAUAUUUUCCUCCGAAAUACUUUUACUAUAUUUUUACUGUACCAGUUUAACACGUCCGACCAGUUUAAUACGUUCGACCUUUAGGAAAAAUGUGGUUAAUGAUUACAUCCACCUUUAUGUUGUUGGUGAAAAUAACCAUAUUGAUAAAAUAACCAUAUUGUCUUAAUUAUCUUAGUACAACAUAAUGGUCGGGCGUGUUAAACUGGUACAUUAAACGUAUAAUAAAAGUAUUUCGGUGAAUAAUCUCUUAGUUAAGGUGUUCAAGUGAACUUUCGUUGAUAGUUUAAGUGUCUGUCUAUGUAUUCUGCCAAAUACAAUAUACUGCAAAAUUUUACUGUUCCAUUGCAUCUUUGUUUUGAGUUUUGAAAGUUUUCAUUUCCAGCAUUUUCUGAUUUUCUUUGGUACUGAGGAAGAUUUGAAUUUGGUUUCUGAAAGUGCUGGUCCAAAGUUUUCUAAAUCUUUACUGUUACAUUGAUUCAUUCGGGGUUAAUCACUAUUUUCUGGGUUAAAAAUCUGGCUUGUUCUUGCUAUCUAAUUACUGCUAAAUAUGACCCUUUUCUACUCUCAUUUCCAGGUAUUUUUCCUUGAACUGUCGUUAACUAAUGCCUUGUUAAAGGUCCAAUUUCACAAGUUUGAAUUCAAGUGGAUGUAUUAUCACAAGCUGCAAUGUGAUGGAUUAUGUUACUAUAGUUCUUUGGUUUGCCAUAUUUUAUAGUAGCUUAGUUUCUUUGUAUUGGUUUAAUUGCUCAAUCUAUAUGAUUCAAAUUUAUUGAUCAUGUAGAGUAGAUGUUUAGAUUCAGGGUCCUGUAAUGGUAAACGAAAAUUUGUGUGUAAAUGGACUGUUAAAUAUGUUAUAAGGAUUGACUACUUGAAUAUUUUAGUUGUUUUUUUUUUUGUUUGAAAUUAGGAUUUGAUAUGAAGAAGUUUUAGUACUGAUAUUGGGUGCAAUAUAUUUGGAAUAGGGAUUUUGGAACCGUGAGAUUUAAUUGAUUCA